AAUACAAGGCCAAGUGGGCUAUGAAAAAGCUGAACUUGAACUUAGGAAAAUCUAGCAGACAUAGGAUGCUACUACUCCUAGAACAUACUAUCUCCUCCGUUCCUUUUUAAUUGUCACUUUUGCAUAAAUUUUUUGUUUCUAAUUAACUGUCACUUUCAAAGUUCAAUGCAACAUUAAAUGUUGUUUUACCUUUAUUACCCUUGAUUAUUUAUUGUAGAGAGAUAAGUAUAUGAAAUAAGAUAUUAAAUGAUGAAGGUUUUUAUAGAAAAAAGAUGAAUUGUUGUAUCAAAAGUAGUAAAAUGUAUUUGUUGUCUUGGUUUGUGUAAAAAACUCAAAAGUGACAGUUAAAAAGGAACGGAGGGAGUACUAUGGUAAUUAUAAUUGAAUACUUAUAGUUGAUGAAGUCCUUGAUUAUUUUGAGGGAAAGUCUCUCUUUAUAGGGGACUAGAGGUAGUAGUCAGUUAGACUGUGAACUAAUAUAGACAUACAAUGUGGUUUCCUUUACCUUUCUCUCUAUUUUAUUUUGAUACAGGAUGUUCUUUAUGGUUUAACUCGAACUAGUUUGUUUUUCAAUAGAGUUAAAUGAUUUGAUAAAGAAGUUUAUGUGUUUAGGAAAACCUAUUAAAAAAUAUUUUAUUAUAAUAUCUUUCAUAUUUUAUGACUUGGAUUGAAAAAUGUGUUUUCUUUUAAGAUCUUAGUUUACUUAUUUUGUGCCAAUAUUAAAGUUUAAUGUCUAUUAUUUUUUAAUUUUGUCUUCUCUAAUAAGUAAUAUCGGGUUGGAAUAAAUGUAUGCUGAUUUGAUCAUAGACGUUCUGAUUAAUAUUGUAUAGAGCUGUCAAAACGGGCGGCCCGGCCCGUUUAGGGCCGGCCCUGAAGGGCUUCGGGCUUUAUCGGUCCGGGCCAAAAAGCCCGGUUGAAAAAUGGGCUUGAAAUAUACUAUCCGAGCCCGGCCCUACACGGGCCGGCCUGUAUUAAAAAUUUUAUAUAUAUAUAUAUAUAUAUUUUUUUUUUAAAAAAAGCACUAUAAAAUACUCCUAUAAUUUUUUUUGAUAAAUAAUAUCUAGAACAAAAAUAAAUUGUAAACAUUUUCGUACAAACGUCGUAAACUAAAACGGCGAGGAAAACAAUUUUAAAUAAAUUAGAUACGUUAUGGUUAUAGAUAUUUAUAUAUUCGAUCUUUAAAAUUAUAAAUAACGAAACAAGUAAAUAUAAUUUUAUAUUACAUGUAUAUUUGUGUCAAUUCAUUGAAUUUUCACUUUUAUUUAUUACUUUGAUAAUCAACUAAGUAAAGAAUUUUUUGAUAAAUAUAUAUAAUUUAUAGGAUUUUUUUUGUUAUGCGGGCUAGCGGGCUACCCUUGGCCCGUUCGGGCUGGCCCUAACGGGUAGCAGGCUUUUUAGGUCCGGGCUAAAAAGCCCUAUUGAAAUUCGGGCUCAAUAUUUAAGGCCCAAGCCCUAUAAUUAAUCGGGCUAAACGGGCCGGCCCAUACGGCCCGGCCCGUUUUGACAGCUCUAAUAUUUUACAAUGAUCAUGAUUUUAAAAUAUUAGGCAUUAAGGAAAGUUUUGUUAUUGUGGAUUUUUCAAAAGAUGAUGGAGAGUUACCUUGAUAUUAAAGGCUUUUGAAAACAUGAGUUUUUAUCUGCAAAUGAAUUUCAUUAUUUAACGAUAAAUAUCAAAUAUUUUAUUUUUAGUGUAGAGUGUCACAACAUCGAUCAUAUAAUAUUGUCAACAACAAAAUGCAUCUUAUGUUACUUUUAAUUUAGAAAAAAUUGUGUUGGCACCACUUAGGUUCAUUAUUUAUAAAAUUAGUUUUAUUUUUCGACGUUUAUCUUUAUUAAUUAUCAUUUCAGACUUAUCCCUUAUCUAUUAUGAAAGGCUAAUAUAAAUUAAAAAUAUAUAUAAUAAAAAUUUAAUGAGCAUCAAGUUUAAACACAACACAAUGAUCUAUUUUAAAGACCUUUAACAAUAACUUCAAUUUAUUAAUGAUCUCUUACAACUUCUUAAGGGUAAAAAACUAUUAUCUUGGUAUUAACAAAGCAAGAAAUUUUUAUUUAUAAAGUUUAAAAACACAUUUUAUUUAUUAGAUGUAAAGGAGAAAAAUAUGGCUCAAAUUCUUAAACUUGUUUAUGCUUUCACAAUCUUUCUUUUUAUAUUUCUUGUGGUAACCAAUGGACGUGAGUAGUUUCUGACAUUAAUUUCUUCUUAAUGUUAUAUACAUAAUAUUCCCUCCGUCUCAAAAUAUAAGUAAAUUUUACUUUUUAGGUUCAUUCAAUUAAUGAUGUAUGUGAUUUAUAAUAUGGACCACAUACAUCAUUAAUUGAAUGAACCUAAAAAGUAAAAUUGACUUAUAUUUUAAAACAGAGGGAGUAUUUCAUUACCUCGUGGUAACAUUGAUUUGUUGUUGUUUGACUUUGCAGAAGAAUGUAAAGAUGAUGGUGAUUGUCCAACAAAUAUGUGUCUCCCUUCUCUAGUUUCGAAAUGCAUUAAUUUUAUUUGUGAGUGCACACAUUCGAUGAGUACUGAUUAAUAUUAAAAAUACCUAUAUGUUAUUAAAAAGCAUAUAUUUCAAUGGGGUUUACUUUCUUGGCAAGUUUCCUUUUCUUAAAAAAUAAUAAUUUGUAAUAAGUAUACAAUUUAUUUGUACUUCAUAAUUUUCCUCACAGUUUGAUUUAUAUUUUUCUUGCCUUUAAAUUUCUUUGAGAAGCUCAAAAUUUUAUAGUUAUAUUAUAAAAAAAAUUGUUACAUUCGUUGAAUUAUAUAUGUUAUCUAAAAUAGUGGCGGAUCUUGCCAAAAAUAUUAGGAGGAGCAACAAAUACUAACAAAUUUUUUAAUACAAAUAAUACUACAGACAGGUACGUUAAACACAAAGUAUGCGAAGAGUAGAUAAUAAAUUUCACUUACAUAUCUAACAUUGAACUGAAACAUCAUUAAUAAAGUGCAUUUUAAUUGAAACAUCAAUAAGAAAUUUUGAAUUAAAACAUUGAAAUUCACAUGUUGAAUUGAAACUUUGUAAUGAAACAAUGAGUUAGAAACAUCAAUAAGAAAGUUUAACCAUUGUAUCAGUGUAAAACCUAUUUGACACAUUCCAAAUUCAUAGCAAUUCAAACAAUCAAACAAACCAAUUGCGAUUUCCGAAUUCCAAGUGAAGAAACCAAUAGAAUAUGGUGGUAUUUUGGUCAUUUCCUCUAAUAAAAACAAAGUUACCACAUGAUUUUAUUUCGACAAUUUCACUACAUGAUAUAAUAAUACUUUCAAAUGACAUGCAUCACCUUUACGAUCUAUCACAUCAAUACCUAAUAGAUUAUUCCACAAAAUACUCCUUAAUGAUUAAUGAGUCCCAACCUGGACUCCGUGCUAGAUUUAGGUGGAAUUCUUUUCCAAGACGAAUGCAUGAAUAUCUCAUUUUAACUAUCCUAAUCAGUUUCACAUCAAAGUGUGUACAUUUCCUAAAAAAAAAGUAUGUACAUUAUUUGUGUAUUAGUUGAAUUAAACCAAACAAAAAUACAACUAACAAUAAAAUUAAUAAAUAUUUCAAUACACAAAAUAUUUAAUUAAUUAGAAUUUAGAGUUAAUUAAUUAAUUUUAAUUUUUUAGUAUCUAUAUUAUUAAAGUAUCAAAAUUUGAGGUAAAAAAAUAAUGUUAUUUUAUUUAAAUUCAAAUUUAAUUUUAUAAAAGGAUCAUCUUUGUUUAUAAAAAUAUUUACUAAAAUUUGUCAAUAUUUUUAUGUUUCUUAUAUUAUGGCUUGUAUUUAAAUUUAAAUUUAAAAUUUGAAAAAUUAUUGAGUUUUUAUGAGUAACCUUGUCAACAUACUCAUUUUGUUAUCUCUUUAUCCCUUUCUCUCUGUUCUUCUAUGUUGUACAAUAUCUUGCAAUACAUUAAAUUAAUUUCAUAACACGUUAUCAACACGAAGCUCUAACAAUAUGAGAUUGAGUAUGAUAAAGAGUAUGAUAUAGUCAUAAACAAAAGCAGAAGAUUAAUCACAAUUUCUACAAUGAAAAGAGUUGAAGAAUCUAAAGAAGCAAUUUGAACAUUUGAUGGUUCUACAUUUGAUGGUUCUAGACCGUGAUUCAUGUUUGCUAAUGGUUCAUUACAUCUCUAUGUUUUUAAUUCUUCAUUUUGUUUCAAAUUUUGUUUUAGUGAAUUAUCUACAAUUUUUUAAUUUCUCAGUGUAUAGACUAUGAUAAUUAGGCAAGGGAUAGCUUUAAUUUCGCACCCAUGAAGCUUAAAAAUAUAGAACAUGCUUCAUGUCAAUUAUUAUUUUUAUUUUAUAUCGCACAUAAAUUUUGUUGAAAAUGCUCUUUAACUUAUAAUUAACAUAUCUUUUUUUUCUUUAUUUUUGUUAAAUUCCAGAAGAAUUCAACAACAAAUCAUCCCUGAAGGAUAGUUCAAACAAUGAAGAUAUUUUAUGAUACAGUUCUUGAAGAACUAAUUUUUUUUUCCUUUUAUUAUUAAAUCUCCUUGAAGGAUUUCUCAAAUAACGAAUAAUUUAAUUUUAAGAAUUCAUAAAAGAUUGCAAAAUAAAAAUAUUGUGAUUUUCCUUUGUUCUCGAUAGAUGUUUGUGGUGAGUUCUUGAAGAACUAGAUCUUUGUUAAUAUCUACUAAAUUUACAUUUUUGUCAUGCCAAUCUAUUAUAUUUUUAUUGAUUUUUAUUUAGUUAACACAUUAGUAUCUUUGAUAUUCUUAAUAAAUUUUUCAAUAAUUUAAUAUCGAGUAUCCCUGAAGGAUUGCGCAAAAGAAUUGUUCUUAAUCAUUAUAUAGAUCAUGUAUAAUAUAAUUCCUGAAGAAAAAAAAAAUUAAGAUUAAAACAUCUCUGAAAGAUUGGCAAACAAUCAAAUUUGUAUCCUUAUUUAUGAAGGUUAUAUAUAUAUAUAUAUAUAUAUAUAUAUAUAUAUAUAUAUAUAUAUAUAUAUAUAUAUAAUAGUUCUUGAAGAACUAAAUAUUUAAUAUUAAGCAUCCUCGAAGGAUAGCAAAAAUUAUAAUCUUCAUUGAUGUUGAUAGAUUUAUGGUUGAAAAUAAUAUCUAUUCUAUCAUUGUUUUAUUUUAAAAAAGUAUUGGAGAGUUACGCGUUAAGAAAGUAAUGUUGUUCUCGAAGAAUUAAUUUGUUAUUUUAAAGAUCUCUAAAGGAUCGCUCAAAUAAAGAAGUUUCUUGAUAAUUGUUUAUGAAGAUUUGAAAUAUAACUCCUGAAGAACUAAAAUUUAAUAUUAAAUCAUCCUUGAAGGAUUGCAAAAAUUAUGAUUUUACUUGCUUAUUGUUCAUAGAGGUUUGUGGAGUUCUUGACCACAAUUCAAAUAUAUAAGAUCUAUUUGAUCUUAGAAUAAAUUACAUCAAAAGAAUUCAAGAAAAAAUUAUUUAUGCAUCUUGAAUGUUCUCCUGAAGUAGAAAAAAUUGAGAAAAUAAUAUCAAGAAACUUCUACACAUCUCAACUUCUUGAACCAACACUAAUAUAAUAAACCAAGUACCAAGAUGAUAACCACACCAUGAACAAAAUAAAUAGUUACCCAGAGAUAAUAUAUUGUACACAUGUGAAUAAUUUCCAAUUCAUUAACUAAAAAACAGAAUGACCUGUAAAAUAUAAAAUCAUUUUAAAGAAAAAAAGCAAGAGCACAAAUGCAAAAUAAAUAUGAGAAAUGAUAUUUGAACAACCAUUUUUUGACAACUUUUGUGACACCUUUCUCUUUCAUACUCACAUUAUAUUUUCACUUUCUCUUUCUAUUGCUUUGGUUUUUGUGCCAAUCACUUAUUUUCUUUGUAAAAUUUUGUUUGUUGCAAGGGUUAUCAUAUAAAAUGAUGUUCAAAUAACACAACUCAACAAAUAUAUAUGAACAGCUAAACUAAUAUCAAAGUGGCACAUAUAGAUUGAAUAAGAAAGAUGCCACUUUUAGAACAAUGUUAAUGGUGAUUACUCAAAGCAAAUCUUGCCUAGUUACAAACGACACUAACAUAUCAGUAAAUCUAUGUUUACUAACAAUUGACUCAUACACUUUUACGUCAUAACCAUAUAUAAUAAGCAGAAAAUAUUCCUCCGAUUAACAUAGAAUUGAAAGAGAAUGAGACCCUCUUGGUUUAAUAUGUGCUCUACAUUUCCAACUUUAGUAGACCGUUUAAAACCAAAAUAUCAUUAAUAGGGGAUUAGGUUCUCAGAUGAAAGGUACAGGGGGCAGAUUUGAGCAAAAUUUUGUGAAGAUUAGUGCAUUCAGAUUUUUAUUUUAUUAGUAAAGGAUUUCAGUCUAUUUGAUUUGGUCUUGCAAACACAAAAAUGGUGGACAACAAUGAGUUAUAACAAGUAAUAUGAUUUAAACAAAACACAAAGCAUAGCAGGUGCUACAGUUGUAUUCAAACAUCCACAAUCCAUUAUAGUUUCACAUUUUCUUAGAAUGCCAAUCAGAGCAAAAGUAUUUCACUUUCGACUCUCUCUUUCCAUCUUCUCUCUUCUCACUUUUAACAGUACACAAAUCACACCACCGCCACCAUCCAGCACCUCGCACUCAGAUCUGAACGCCAUUAACGUCAUCUAUCACCAUAUCAUCUCACCGUCACCACCACCACCGUUGCCACCGUCCUCACCCUCUCUCGCCUCUGUAUUUGUUCUCUCUGCCUCACACUCUUCACCAAAACAAAACAUCAACAACCUUUUAAAAAAAACAAAACAGCAGUAAUUUCACAGAUGUCGGAAUGAUGCGACGGCGGAAACAGAGAAGGCAGAAACAGAGAGAAGGCGGAGAGAAGAAAUAGCGCAUCAAUGAGAGAGAAGAUGAGUACCAGUUAAACAAUGGUAGGAUACUGGAUGCUGUGAUGAGCCAUCACUUCACAGGGGUGAUGAAUGAGGCAAGCAAGAGCAAGGGAAUAAUGUAAUUUAUAGAUAGUAAUAACACAUUUCAUUGGAACCCUAAUGCUUUGGAAACAUGCCAGAACUGAAUAUAGAUGAAGUAGUUGGGAGAUUUGAAUUUCAAAAUCAUCAUUAAAUGCAUCUAGGUAAUUACAUAAGUUUUGGGGGGAUUAGUUGGGAGAUCUGAAUAUUAUAUUCUUAGCGCCAAAUCUGCUUGGUUUAGGGUUUUUUAAAUGUUGUUUGCAAAUGUACAUUUGGAUUAGAUAUAAAGAUAUUUUGGUUUAUGGAAAUGUUUAUCAUUUUUCUAUUGAAUUAGAAUACAAGGCCAAGUGGGCUAUGAAAAAGCUGAACUUGAACUUAGGAAAAUCUAGCAGACAUAGGAUGCUACUACUCCUAGAACAUACUAUCUCCUCCGUUCCUUUUUAAUUGUCACUUUUGCAUAAAAUUUUUGUUUCUAAUUAACUGUCACUUUCAAAGUUCAAUGCAACAUUAAAUGUUGUUUUACCUUUAUUACCCUUGAUUAUUUAUUGUAGAGAGAUAAGUAUAUGAAAUAAGAUAUUAAAUGAUGAAGGUUUUUAUAGAAAAAAGAUGAAUUGUUGUAUCAAAAGUAGUAAAAUGUAUUUGUUGUCUUGGUUUGUGUAAAAAACUCAAAAGUGACAAUUAAAAAGGAACGGAGGGAGU
This 7506-nucleotide long non-coding RNA is filed under the name Medicago truncatula (barrel medic). RNAcentral describes it as "long non-coding RNA (MTRU_LNC003198)". The stretch from base 2237 to 2349 matches the Rfam family "MIR2593 microRNA precursor family". The record is from RNAcentral. Lineage: Eukaryota; Viridiplantae; Streptophyta; Magnoliopsida; Fabales; Fabaceae.